RNAcentral lists this ribosomal RNA (872 nucleotides) under uncultured Chloroflexota bacterium. RNAcentral's name for it is "bacterial SSU rRNA". It matches the Rfam family "Bacterial small subunit ribosomal RNA", at positions 117 to 1003 of the family's 1533-position model. Lineage: Bacteria; Bacillati; Chloroflexota. The record is from RNAcentral.
GUAAGUAACCUGCCCCCAAGUAGGGAAUAACUCUGAGAAAUUAGAGCUAAUACCAUAUGUGGUGAUGGAGGUAAUGCUUCAUCACUAAAGCCUUAGGGCGCUUAGGGAUGGGCUUGCGUCCGAUUAGCUAGUUGGUAGAGUAAUGGUUUACCAAGGCGAUGAUCGGUAGCUGGUUUGAGAGGACAUUCAGCCACACUGGGAUUGAGAUACGGCCCAGACUCCUACGGGAGGCAGCAGCAAGGAAUUUUGUGCAAUGGGCGAAAGCCUGACACAGCGACGCCGUGUGGGGGAUGAAGGCUUUCGGGUUGUAAACCCCUUUUCUCAGGGAAGAAUGAUGACGGUACCUGAGGAAUAAGUCGUGGCUAACUACGUGCCAGCAGCCGCGGUAAUACGUAGGCGGCAAGCGUUAUCCGGAUUUACUGGGCGUAAAGAGAGCGUAGGCGGUCUUUCAAGUCGAUUGUGAAAUCUCCCGGCUUAACUGGGAGGGGCCAGUCGAUACUGUUAGACUGGAGGGCAGCAGGGGGAGGUGGAAUUCCCGGUGUAAUGGUGGAAUAUGUAGAUAUCGGGAGGAACACCAGUGGCGAAGGCGGCCUCCUAGGCUGUUUCUAACGCUGAGGCUCGAAAGCGUGGGGAGCAAACAGACUUAGAUACUCUGGUAGUCCACGCUGUAAACGAUGGACACUAGGUAUAGGGAGUAUCGACCCUCUCUGUGCCGUAGCUAACGCAUUAAGUGUCCCGCCUGGGGAGUACGGCCGCAAGGCUAAAACUCAAAGGAAUUGACGGGGGCCCGCACAAGCAGCGGAGCGUGUGGUUUAAUUCGAUGCAACGCGAAGAACCUUACCAAGGCUUGACAUGUCGGAAGUAGCGACCCG